Molecule: ribosomal RNA, 253 nt
Filed under: uncultured bacterium
Lineage: Bacteria
Description: partial 16S ribosomal RNA
Rfam family: Bacterial small subunit ribosomal RNA
Source: RNAcentral
UACAGAGGGUGCAAGCGUUGUUCGGAUUCAUUGGGCGUAAAGGGUGCGUAGGCGGCGCGGUAAGUCGGGUGUGAAAUCUCGGGGCUUAACUCCGAAACUGCAUUCGAUACUGCCGUGCUUGAGGACUGGAGAGGAGACUGGAAUUUACGGUGUAGCGGUGAAAUGCGUAGAUAUCGUAAGGAAGACCAGUGGCGAAGGCGGGUCUCUGGACAGUUCCUGACGCUGAGGCACGAAGGCCAGGGGAGCAAACGGG